This 1618-nucleotide long non-coding RNA is filed under the name Ornithorhynchus anatinus (platypus). Its description in RNAcentral is "lncRNA (ENSOANG00000037120.1)". The record is from RNAcentral. Lineage: Eukaryota; Metazoa; Chordata; Mammalia; Monotremata; Ornithorhynchidae.
GGCCAUUCCACUGGCUACUGUAGUUUACUGCAGCUGCUCUGGUAGAAUCCUCCACAUUUCACUCCUGGAAAUGAUAUUAUUGGAAAGGAAUCAGGGGAACACUCUCCAUGAACAAUGUGAGGGAGUGAAAUUUGCCCAGGGAAAACCAGGGUUUCCAAAGUCCAGGGCCCAGUAAAAUGAUAAUCAGGCCCUUCAUAUUCCUAUAUUUUAUUCUCUUUUGAUCAUGCCACUCUUGAUCUUUUCUUGCACUGAAGAGUUUGCAGGUGGUCAAGUAAGGAGAGCAACUGGUAAACAAGUCGACAUUCCAGUUGUUCAGCUUUGCUUCUUCUUAGCAGUCCAUGAAAAGACUGGAGUAAGAGCCUGAACCCAAUGACUAGCUGUGAAUUAUAUACUGGAGUUUUAUUUCUUUAGUCAUGCUGUGUUCUCUCUCCAUCUGCACAGAUAAUUGAAAGCUGGCUGGAAGUGUGUUUCACUGAAGCGUGAAGGCUAUGCAGUCUCACUACAGAUUUCCUAAAGAGAUCCCUUUUCAUGAAGGUUUUCACUUCCUGCCACUGGGGAUUGACAUGAUGGGUGACCAGAAGAAGCGAGAGUCUGUCUUCCUGAAACUCAGAGGCUGUCUUGGGGAACUUAGUUGACAGGGCAGAAAAUAGAGUUUCAAGUUUAAGUCUCCAGGUGUAAAAAAAUUGUUAGUGUCUCUGUCCAUGUGACAUAUACAAAAACACAGGAAAUGUAAAAAUAUAAUACUUUUGGAAAAAUUGAUACUGUCCUCUCUGUACAGUAUUCUCUUUUUUUCCUUAUUUCCAAGAAGAAUACAAGUCUAGAAAGGAUAUCUAGAAAGGAGGCUAAAGGAUGUCAUUAAAGGGGACAUUUUCACAAGAUUCUUGAUUUACAGGUACAUUUCACACUAUUCAAACACUUUUGCUCAAUUUAAAUCUGAGUAUCUCACUGUUCCUACAGUUUUUUUUGUGAUUUUUAAUCAAUUAAUGGUAUUUAUUGAGCACCUAUUAUGUGCAUAGCAUUGCAUUAGGAGCUUGGGAGAGUACAUAAUAACAGAGUUGGCAGACAAGUUCCCUGCCCACAAGAAUCUUAUAGCCCAGAGGGAAAUUCUGUCCAAUGACUUAACAAAAUGGUGUGCAAGCACAUGCAUAUUUUUGAAUUAAUUUGACAAAGUGCUCUGCACCUAGGAAGCUCUCAAUAAAUACCACUGAUUGAUUUUCUCUAAAAUUUAAUUUUUGUGUUUGCCACAGUAUUGACAGCUUCUAUAGACUUCAUAUUUUAUUAGCUUAAAGAGGCACUCAGAUGUCUUUUCUUCUAAUUAAGCUCCCUCUUUGGAAUUUGAACUUUCUAAGUCAGAUGAUGUAACACCUGCUUUGUAUUUCAAGACUGCCCUCUGCAUUUUGAUGGUUUGGGGUACUUUUUGUGCAGGGCACUGUACUAAAGCACUUGGGAAAGAACAAUACAUAAGAGUUGUUAAGCACAAUCCUUGCUCACAAGGAGCUUACAAUCUAGAGGCAUUAAAAUAAGUUACAGAUAUAAUAAUUGUAGUAUUUAAGUGCUUAGUAUGUACCAGGCACUGUAAUAAGUGCUGGAGUAGAUACAUGCAAAUUGGGUUGGACAC